Molecule: ribosomal RNA, 492 nt
Filed under: uncultured bacterium
Lineage: Bacteria
Description: partial 16S ribosomal RNA
Rfam family: Bacterial small subunit ribosomal RNA
Source: RNAcentral
AGUGAACGCUGGCGGUAGGCCUAACACAUGCAAGUCGAACGGCAGCACAGUAAGAGCUUGCUCUUACGGGUGGCGAGUGGCGGAUGGGAGAGGGAUACACCGGAGUCUACUUUUUCGUGGGGGAUAACGUAGGGAAACUUACGCGAAUACCGCAUACGACCUACGGGUGAAAGCAGGGGAUCUUCGGACCUUGCGCGAGUGAACGAGCCGAUGGCGGAUUAGCGAGGUGGCGGGGUAACGGCCCACCAACGCGACGAUCCGUAGCUGGUGUGAGAGGAUGAACAGCCACACUGGAACUGAGCCACGGUCCAGACUCCUACGGAAGGCACCAGUGGCUACUGUUGGACACUGGGCGCAAGCCUGCUCCAGGCAUACCGGGCGGGUGCAGAAGGCCUUCGGGUUGUAAGGCGGUUUUGUUGGUAAAGAAAAGCUGCACGUUAGACCCCCGCUUUUCUGACGGUACCCAAAGAAUAAGCACCGGCUAACUACGUG